GGGGCUGAUUCUGGAUUCGACGGGAUUUGCGAAACCCAAGGUGCAUGCCGAGGGGCGGUUGGCCUCGUAAAAAGCCGCAAAAAAAUAGUCGCAAACGACCAAACCUACGCUUUAGCAGCUUAAUAACCUGCUUAGAGCCCUCUCUCCCUAGCCUCCGCUCUUAGGACGGGGAUCAAGAGAGGUCAAACCCAAAAGAGAUCGCGCGGAUGCCCUGCCUGGGGUUGAAGCGUUAAAACGAAUCAGGCUAGUCUGGUAGUGGCGUGUCCGUCCGCAGGUGCCAGGCGAAUGUAAAGACUGACUAAGCAUGUAGUACCGAGGAUGUAGGAAUUUCGGACGCGGGUUCAACUCCCGCCAGCUCCACCA
This 363-nucleotide transfer-messenger RNA is filed under the name Salmonella enterica. It matches the Rfam family "transfer-messenger RNA". Rfam says of the family: Bacterial tmRNA, also known as 10Sa RNA or SsrA, is named for its dual tRNA and mRNA-like properties. The record is from RNAcentral. Lineage: Bacteria; Pseudomonadati; Pseudomonadota; Gammaproteobacteria; Enterobacterales; Enterobacteriaceae. RNAcentral also lists the same sequence under 2 other names.